RNAcentral lists this long non-coding RNA (4610 nucleotides) under Nicotiana tabacum (common tobacco). RNAcentral describes it as "long non-coding RNA (NTAB_LNC015829)". The record is from RNAcentral. Lineage: Eukaryota; Viridiplantae; Streptophyta; Magnoliopsida; Solanales; Solanaceae.
CCCAUUUGCCUAAAAGAAAAGAAAGGGCUGCCGAGUUCGACGAAAGCUUCAGAAACGAAACAAGAAAAAAAACAGAGAAGGAAAGAAAGGGAGAAGAAGAAAGAGGCUAGAACCAAAUCUUGAGAAAUUUUAAAUACACACUGGUUUUUACGGGUAAUACUCGAAUUUCUCAUCUAAGUUCUUUUCUCCUGAUUUUUUUAUCUCAAUUCAUAUAUUUGAAAGGUUUCACAAGGUAUAAGAAAUUUAAUACCAAUUAGAGUUAUUCUGGGCAACUUAUGCAAUUGAAAGUUGGUCAAUGUUAUUGUAGGAUAAAUUCACUUGGAAAAAGAAGGGUAUUGAUGUAUUUGUACUUAAACUAGUCUGAUUAUAUAUGAUCUUUGUUAGGUGUAAAUUAAGUUAGGGUACAAGGAUUUGAGUUUUGGUGUUUAACUGUGUUGCAAUGACAAUAGUGAAUUUGGGUUUGAAUGUUAUGAGUCUAGUAUUAAGUACAAAAGAUAGGUACUAAUUAAGAAGGAAUAUUAUGGACAGUAAAGUUAUUUCAGUUUCAAUUUAUGCACACGAUUAAGGAAAUUGGACAGUAAAGGGAAUAAACCUUGUAAAUAUAUUUUUACUUAAAAGAUUUUGGACUAAUUUAAAUUACUCAUAGCAUGGGUAAAUAUAAUUCGACGAAUUGAUGAUAAAGUAUAAAACUCGGAGGAUUGGGGUAUUCUAAAAUAGCUAUGAAUUAGCUUAAAAAAGGAAAUUAACAUGAGAUCGAUAUUAUGUAAUUAUAGAUUGAUUGGAGGAAUUUGUACGAGUUGCUUGAGGUGAAGCAGUUGGUAUUUCGGCACGAGUACGGUGAGUAGUAAUCUUACCGCAAUUUGUGUUUUCAUAACUUGUAUGAUUUACACAUGAUUUUUAAUAUGAAUAUGUUACCGAUUAUUUUGAGUUGCAUGUGGGACAAAUCUUUUACUCGAUAUGAUACCGAAAUAGUUAUUUGAGGUGAAUACCGUGGUUUUAAAUAUUUUCGUUGUCACUAGAUCUGUUUGAUCGUUACUUGAAUUUACUGUUAUCGAAAGGAAAUUAUAUGAUUUGAUAAGAACCGAAAUGCCCUAUAUUGUUAUAAAAUAGUUUCUACGAGUAUAUACGGAUUACAAAGACGAGUAUAAAUGGGAGUAGAUAUUGAAGGAUCCCGUAGCUAACGGCGGGUUCGUUAGACCUGGUGCACCUUGUAAUUACCGAUUACCGUUAUAGCCCUCGCUAGUGGGAAGGGUUUUCACUCUUCCUCUCCUUCUCAAUAUCUGGGUUUUCUAGAUCAUAAGAUAUUGAUAAUUUCAUCCUCAGUUUUGGAUUCUUCAGCUGCUGUGUACGAGAAGGACGUGAUAUGUAAACCCUCUCAUUCUUGCACUCAUAAGUCCAGUGCCCUAACUGGAAACAUUUCUGACAUUGAGAAGCUGCAGCAAGGGUGGAACCUGAAGCCUUGAGGUCUUUCCUUUCACCCAAUCUCACCUGUUUCUCAGUACUCAUCAAAUACAUCUGCCUCUUUGCUUCUUUUCUUUCCUGCCAUCGACUGGGUCCUUCUUCCUUCUGGCCAUACGCAUUGACAUUUCUAGCAGCAGGAGCAGCGGCGCGCUCAGCCUGAGCACGACUCAAACCCUUUGCAGCUGACAAGGCUGCAACCUUAAUCCUUUCUGCUGCAUCCUGAGCACCACUUUCCUCAUUCUUAGAGGAUGCCAUGAUAUUGGCACUCAACAAAGAAGAGUCCCCUCUUCAAGUUAGCCUUAAUCUCUACCAGUACCCUGGGCAGAAAACUAGAGAACAGCACAAAGAGUUAAGGUUAGUGGAAAGAUAACCAAAAACCAGCCAAAAAAGUAAUCAAAGUAUAAUCUUUCAACCACAUUUUUUAAUACAAUUUUUACUCUUCCAAGUACAGUGCAUCCCCAAGUAAAAAUCAUUAGAUAAUGCCUCAAUCCUAAGCUAGUUGGUGCCAGCUAUAUAUUCCGUAGCAUCUACUCAGCCCCAUUUCAUUCCAAAAACCAAGAAAACCAAAGUCUUGUCGUGAUUCAAUUAUGGGUCUAAGUUAACAGAAAUACUAAUUACGGGAGAUACUGGUGUACUUCAAAAUCAAUCGAUGUUGAAUGCUUGCUUAGAUAUUCUAGUAGGUUAAUUAAUUAAUGUAAGGAUAUGCAUCCUAGUAUCCUACACAUCAACGGAAUAGAUAAUGUUCUAUUUCUGACGACCUUGUUCGUUUUUUUUCCUUUUUUUGUUCAGAAAACAGAUUACGAAAGCCCAAAAAGAAAGAUCGAUACAUGCGAAAUAGAUAAUAAUUGGAAAAUUAUAUCAUAAAAGAUCACAAAGAAGAAAAAUAUGAAUCUGAGCAGGCUUUCUCAAUCCAAUCAGACAAAGCAGAAAUCAUCCAAAAAUCAGCAUUAGAAAGGCACAAGGGUUUCUUGCCAUUCGCGAAAUCUGGGGGAGAGAGAUACUUAAAACUUGGUUUUGAUGGAGAGGAACGGAUGUUGCCACGCAAAAACAGCUUCAAGGAGUUGAGCGUCAAAAUUGCAAGGGUUAUAACUUACUUUGUCGACUUUUAUUUUACAACUUGUUUGACUUCAAAAAUUAACAUACGAAUAUUAUAUGAUUCAAUUACCUUAAAACACGACCUCCUUAGAAUAUUAAGUACUCCUAGUUUUACCUCGAAAGUAUGGGUUGUAGCAUCUUUGGUUCGUUUAACCUCCAGCCCUCAAAAUACUUCCUUACCACUUGUUUUAACCCAUCGUUAUCUUUGUAAAGGUCCUUAACCUCUCCGGCUCAUAUUCUAACAUGAAAGUACGGGGUGUAACAUGAAUUUUGAUAAAGCAGCUUUUUUUUUUGAUGAGUAAUAAGGAUUUUAUUAAUGCUCCAACCGAAAGAAAAUGAUAGAAUCUAGUUACAAAAGUGCGUUAACACUUCACAUCGUGUAAUGUACUCGGUGUAACUCGGCUUCAACAUCAUUCACAUUUGCCAAGUUACACCAAGAAGAAACAACUAAUUUUUACUCAUAAAAGUUGGUUUAAAGCCAUUAAAGCCCAUCCUCUGUUAAAUUUAAUACAGAAACUUUGUUUUAAUUUUUCCAAAUGUUAAGCGUAGUACUUUAUAGGUUCCUCAAUGAUUUCAGCUCAUGGAAAAGAUUAAGGAGGCAAACUUGGUAAACCAAUUCCUCUAGCACUGGUAAAGAUGGACUCAAGAAUACUCUGACUCUUGCAAGAUAUCAGGGUGUGGUUGAUUUGGAUUUUGAAACUGAUUCAGACACUUUUUCGUAUUCUGGUAGAAGACAAUUGAAUAGAAUUAACCAAUUAUAUAAGUAAAAAUUAGGUUAUUCGCUAAUAAGUGAUUGUCCUAAACGCUAGCAAAAAUAAGCUAAGCAAAACACAUAAAAACAACAUACUAAACAGAGCUUUAACAUCUUCAUCUCCAUGAAAACAUCAUCUUAAUGUUUUACUUCCUCCUCAAAUACAUGCAAAUACUAAAUUCAUGCUUCCUACAAAUUCUUUCAAAUUUUAGCGAUUUACUCGCAACAUUUCACUCGAUUGAUCCAGAAACCAAAAGGGUUUUUUUCAUCAAGACAGCCCAAUACCAAUUGCACUAAAAACAGGUUCAUGUUUAACAUUCCAUCGAACAGGUAGCAAGCACUGGUCAAUCCUAAACGAAAAUUACCAAAUUUGCAAGACUAACAAGACAUAUUUAAGGUCUGAAAAGGGUAAUGCUUCAUAUAUAACAAGUAACAUUAAAGCAAACCUGAAUCAGAUGUGUGUUUGGACCUAAGUUGCUCGGACUCGGGUGCGGGUGUCUGAUACGGGUGUUAAUUUAGAGGUUGGAUCCUUCAUGAUCUAAAUCUUAAGAUUCGGAGGUUACGGAUCCAGAUACGAAUACGGGUGUGGGUAUUCGGCUAAAAAUAAUUCAAAUAUCUAAAAGUAGAGUUAUAAAAAUAUGACUACAUUAUGAGAUAUUAUGAGGAAAACUAACAAGGUAUUCCGAGAAAGAGAGAUUAAUGAUCAAAAGGAGAAUCCAAGAAGAAAAUAAAAGGAAACUGACUGACACAGAAGUUUCUAUAUACAAGGUAUUCCAUUUUCUUCAAUUUCACCCUCGUUUUUGUUUUGAUUUCAAAAAUCAUUAUAUUUGUCCCGAAUUCUUCAGUCGAUUUUGGUCAAAGCACCCAUAAUCGGUUGACUAAAUCCGGUACGGAUCCCAUACCCACACCCAUGUCGUGUCGACACGGGUGUGACACCAAAAGUGAAGAGUCCGAGCAACCUAGAUUUGGACGACUCUUUAGGUUUUCCUUACUCAAAUUCAGCAGAGCAAAUAUAGAGAAGCAUUUUGUGUCUUUCUCUGAAUGUGUGGCACAAAUAUAAGAGAGAAGCAUUUGAGGGCUCUUCUUGGGCAGCGUCCAAUAAGUGAAACUCAAAUUUUAAGUAAUGAAUAAAUUGAGCGAAGUGCACAAAUAGCCGUUUUUAGGACCCCUUACUUAAAGAAUAGCUGAAAUUUACAAUGCAGGUCUGAAGUUGAAAUCCACAGGUCUAAAGUUUCCAAUUUCAGACCUACGGGUCUGAAAUUUGCCUCUGCCAAAGCCUUACAUCAAUGAUAUCAUUAAGGGU